GGCGUCAGGGGACUCCUCAUUGUUUAAUGUUGACAAUAGUACUUAUCUAAAAGGUGCACCAAAAGAAAGGGGGGACAAAUAAGGAUACAAAGUGAAUGACAAUAUUCAUCUUUGAUUACUACCACUCAGCUUGUAACGUAAGUUUCGUUAAAUUCACUAUAUUGUUUUACAAGAACUAAUUUUUUGGUUUCGGAAAAUUUAUUGAUAGUUUUUUUUUCCAAUUGUGCAGGAAAUUGGUUUGGACAACGACAAGGAAAAAGCUGUGCAACAUUAACUUGGUUAAAAAUGAGCGUUGCUUACAUCAAAGGAGAAAGAUAAAAGGAGAACCUGUUAAAAUACUAGUGCCAAGGAGAUAACCACUAGGUGUGGGAAGGCAUCAGGGGACUCCUCAUUGUCUAAUCAUGACAGUAGUACAUCUUAUCUAAAACGUAGUACGAAAGAGAAGGGGGGGACUAAUGAGGAUACAAAGUGAAGGACAACAGUCACAUUUUUUUUUAUUACUACCACUUAGUCUGUAACACAAGUUUAGUUAGAUUCACUAUAUUGUUUUACAAGAACUAGUUUUUUGCUUUCAAAAAGUUUAUUGAUAGUUUUUUUCCAAUUGUGCAGGAACUUGACUUGGGUAACAACAAAGUAGGAUUUACGUAACAGAUUUCCCUUCUAGAAACGAAGUUACAUGUAGUUUUGUAAUUAUUCGACCCCCUCCAAUAUAUAUAUAUAUAUAUGUAGUUUGGUUUUGUUUGUUUGCAGCUAAAAGCACCCCUGCUUGAAUAUAGAUGUAGAUGAGCCUUGCGUACAACAAAGAUUGUAUAAUUGCUGAUAAGUUAUGCCUAUGUCAUUUAUUUGUUUUCUAGUAUCAUUCAUGGUGAUGCCUUUAGAAAUAAAUCCUUUUUUGAAGGUGAAAGCACUGCUGUAUGAUCUUGGAGCUCAAGCUAAGGCCGUGCAAACCUGACCGAAUGGUCUACUCUUAGUUUAGGGUCAGGCCAAGGCUGAGAACACUUGAUCGAAGGGCUUACCCUCGGUUGGGGGCUCUAGCCAAAGCCAAACACACUAUACUGAAGGGCCUACCCUCUAUUG
Macadamia integrifolia is the source of this 1077-nucleotide long non-coding RNA. RefSeq lists it as uncharacterized. The record is from RefSeq and is a predicted model, not a curated record. Lineage: Eukaryota; Viridiplantae; Streptophyta; Magnoliopsida; Proteales; Proteaceae. The transcript has 4 exons.